GAGAGACCAGGCCAAGAGGGAGACGUUUUAUUUUACUUUUUAAAAAUUUAUUUCUUGUUGGCUGGAGAAGAUGGCGGACGAAUAGGCAGAUCUUUACGCACCUCCUCCGGGGGCCAGACUGGAAAUAGGACUGAACUGGGGAACAUGCACCCGCAGUUACCAACUGAGGUCCAGCUGAGGAGGAGGCAGACACAUCAAGGAAGGACAGAAAACACCCAGAGACCAGCAGGAAGGGCUGAUGCUACUUGGAGUGGAUCGAUUGCUCCUCCCAAGAAGAAUGGCGGCUGUGGUAUUGGUGGAUGCUCUAGCACCGGGUCCCGGUGGCCGAGCCUCCACACCUCUCCCCAAAGCCGGACACCCCAGACUCUCCGUGG
Molecule: long non-coding RNA, 374 nt
Organism: Myotis daubentonii (Daubenton's bat)
Lineage: Eukaryota; Metazoa; Chordata; Mammalia; Chiroptera; Vespertilionidae
Source: RefSeq, a predicted model, not a curated record